RNAcentral lists this transfer RNA (67 nucleotides) under Marmota monax (woodchuck). Its description in RNAcentral is "tRNA.Ala". It matches the Rfam family "tRNA". Rfam says of the family: Transfer RNA (tRNA) molecules are approximately 80 nucleotides in length. The record is from RNAcentral. Lineage: Eukaryota; Metazoa; Chordata; Mammalia; Rodentia; Sciuridae.
GGUUGUGGCUCAGCGGUAGAGUGCUUGCCUAGCAUGUGUGAGGCCCUGAGUUCAAUCCUCAGCACCA